UGGGGGAAAAAAAUGGGCGAGGCGGCCUUCUGGCAUCAUACUGACACUGAGGCGCGAAAGCGUGGGGAGCAAAUGGGAUUAGAUACCCCGGUAGUCCACGCCGUAAACGAUGUCUACUAGACGCUGGGACCCUCGGUUCUGUUUUGCAAAGCUAUAACAUUAAAGUUGACCGCUGGGGAGUACGGCCCGCAGGGUAAAACUCAAAUGAAUUGACCGGGGCCCCCACAAACGGUGGAGCAUGUGGUUUAAUUCCAUGCCACCCCAAAAAACUUACCUACCCCUGACCUUCCAAAAACUUUUCCAAAAUGGUUUGGUGCCUUCCGGAACUCUGAUACAGGUGCUGCAUGGCUGUCCUCAGCUCGUGGUGUGAAAUGGUGGGUUAAAUCCCCCAACGAGCGCCACCCCUAUCCUUUAUUGCUAACAGGGAAUGGUGAGAACUCUAAAGAAACUGGCGGUGAACAACCCGAAGAAAGGGGGGAACAACUCCAGUCAUCAUGGGCCUUACCUGUAAGGCUACACAACUGCUACAAUGGCGCAUACAGAGUGGUGCCAAUAUGGCAAAGUGAACCCAUCACUUAAAGUGCUGCCUAUCCGGAAUGGAAUCCGGCACUCGACUCCCUGAAGUUCGGAUUCGUAGUAAUCGCGGAAUCAAAUGACCCCGGUGAAAACCGUCCCCGGCCUUGGACACACCCGCCGUCCCACCAUGGGAAGUGGGAUGCUCCAAAAGUAGAUAAUCCAACCCUUCGGGAAGACCUUAUACCACCGAGGGAUUCCAGGAUGGGGGUUGAGUCGUAACA
Molecule: ribosomal RNA, 797 nt
Filed under: uncultured bacterium
Lineage: Bacteria
Description: bacterial SSU rRNA
Rfam family: Bacterial small subunit ribosomal RNA
Source: RNAcentral